GGUGGAAGUCCACCAACUGUCGGGGAGGGAGCAGCCACGCCAGUGGAUGGUGACGCCAGCGAGACAAUCUGGUUCAGGGGACGCUUACCUUCUAAGGGAGACUGCCGACCCUGAGGCGAGCCGAAGUAACGCCCGGCCGCUGCAACGCACGCAAAGAUGUCGGUUGUGCACCUGCAUAGCUUAAGGUACGUGCUAAUCCCCCAGGAAACUGGGCCACCCGUGCGAGGUCCGACAGGCCAAACACCGGUGGGACACCCGAGGUGUUGGUUAUGGAAUGCUGUGAUGCCCUUAGAUGUUCUGGGCUGCACGCGCGCUACACUGACAGAGCCAGCGAGUACAUACCUUGGCCGAAAGGUCUG
Molecule: ribosomal RNA, 359 nt
Filed under: Eurotiomycetes sp.
Lineage: Eukaryota; Fungi; Ascomycota; Eurotiomycetes
Description: partial small subunit ribosomal RNA
Source: RNAcentral